This 495-nucleotide long non-coding RNA is filed under the name Homo sapiens (human). RNAcentral's name for it is "non-protein coding lnc-GLRX3-11:1". The record is from RNAcentral. Lineage: Eukaryota; Metazoa; Chordata; Mammalia; Primates; Hominidae.
CGCCCUUAGCUCGCGUGCCCAACCCUAAGGCUGAAAACGCCCCCUGUAGGCUACUGUAAGCUGUAGCAUUCAAGGCCUCCCAGGUGUCGCUGUAAUUUCUUGUAUACAUUUUAGCUCCAUCUGUGGCAUAGGUACCAUUCAAUGUUAUCUUAAUACACUAGCUUUGGAUUUUGUGGCUGCAACAAUAACAAAAAAAAAUCCUUGGUUCUGAUGACUUCAUGUUGUUUCAGAAGAUGGCCAACACAGUGAAACCCCAUCUCUACUAAAAAUACAAAACUUACCUGGGCAUGGUGGUGCACACCCGUAGUCUCAGCUACUCGGGAGGCUGAGGCAGGAGAAUUGCUUGAACCUGGGAGGCGGAGGUUGCAGUGAGCCAAGAUCGCACCACUGCGCUCCAGCCUGGGUGGCAGAGCGAGACUCCCUGUGUGGAAAAAAAAAAAAAAGAUACUCAGAUGUAGCUGUCUCUGCCUGGGUUGUUUUCUAAAUGCGUUUGGC